AAUAACAUAUCGAACUUCUCAAGUGAACAACUACAACAUAAAGAACAUGACAAUACCAAGUACUAACAUAUCCACAGUGCAUUACAAUCAUCAUAACAUUUUAUAAUGAUAUCAUGAAAAUAAAGUGGAGUAAUGACAUAGUAUUAUCCAUAACAACAUUCUAACUAGCAUGGCAAAAGAUAGCAUGAAAACACAAGCAUGCAUGGUAAGCAUAACGGAAUAACUGCAGAUGAAAACGAUAAGCAACAACUGCAACUACACACACACAAGGUGCAAGGAAAGUCAACAUGCAAGUUCGGGGCUCAUGAUAAGAGGUUGGCUUGCGUGGGGGUCGACAAAUACUCCGGGAAGAAGUGAGAAACGACCGCGGAAAAAUUUGCCGGAAACAGUUCUCUCUCAGAGGGGUCUGUUUAUGGACAAGGGAAAAAUGGUCAUUUUCAGAAUGUGCAAACAUGGUGAAAAUGAUCUCAUCAAAACGGGCUCGACGAAAUGAAAACGUGGGCUUUGGAAUCACUUGAUUCGGAGUUACGGUUGUCCAGAUAUAAAGGGUUGAAGUUCAGGGACCUAUCGAUGAAAAUUUCUCAGCCAACAGGCCCCUGGAGGAAAAACUGAACACUUAUUUCUGAGAAUACGCCUUCGGUCAGGGAAAACGGCUCGCGGUGGGGCGCCUCCACUUAGAUGACAUGGCGUUGGACCAGACAAAGUGGCAGAGGCGGGGCCGGGCUCCUGGGUCGGUGCUAGGUGGGGCCGCAGGGCCCACCUGGCCAUGUCAACGCCUCUCCUGGCCACUCCCUUCUUCUCUCCGACGCGCACCCACAAAGCAGAGGAAGGCCGCGCUCCGGCGAUGAGCACCGGCAACAUGAGCCACCACCGGUGAGGCUCCGGCCACCGGCGUGCUCCUCGGGUAGUGGCUCAUCCAUUCCCCCACUCCACAGACUCCAACCACGAGGGGAGCGAAGGCUACCUCGAGCAUGGCGGACGACGGAGAAGGGCUUCGGUCGACGGCGAGGCAACGGUUCCGGCGGGAGAGGCGAGGGGCUGAGGCUACGGGGAGGCUCGCCGGACCUUGGGGAAUUUACUGGUGUGGAGGAACGGCAAGGGGAGCGAGGCAGCACCGGAAUCGAGCAGCGUCCGAGGCGGCGGCCAUGGCGAUGGGAAGAGGAUGUGGAGCUCCUGGAGCUCAGGUGACUCGCUAGGGAGGUCGCUGGGAGGAAGGGGGAGCUGCUGGAGUGCUCGGAGUCUCGGGGGAAGGCCUUUAAAUAGGCGGGCGAGGAGAUGCCGAGCCAGUCGCCGCCGAAUGAGUCCAGCCAGGGCUCUGGCGUGCACAGGGCUCACGAGGAGGGACGGGAAGGCGACGAGGGGGUAAGCGGACGAGCGCCAGAAGCUCACGCAAUUGAGCAACGCUUGCAGACGAGGGGAGGAAGAGGACAAAGGCGAGGAAGAAGACGAUGGCCACGGGAGCACACUGUUCGAUCUUUGGAACGACUCGCCAGAGAAGAAAACGGAGGGGGCCAGAGGCCCAGGGGAAGAGGACGGCGAGGGGGAGCUGUAGGACAUUAAUGGAGAGGUCAGAGACGGUCGGAGUAGUGUUGCCGACGAGAACAGUGGCUAGACCACCGUUUUGGCUGGCUGCCCUCGUGGUCACCACUGGCAUAGCGCGCUCUAGAGAUUUUACUUGUGCCAGCUCAUGUCUAUCGCGUAGUCCUUCCAGAGUGGAGUAUUACCACUGUAAAGAUUUGGGCAGAGACAAAAGGAGCUGAGUAAACCAAGAUCCACAAGUUUACUGCUGCAAACUUGGUAACAUCCUAGAGGUAAAACCAGAGAGGGUGAAAGGUAAACUUGAUGUCUGGGAGGCUUAGGGUAGCAAGGACUAUGGUCCUGGUAAUUAUGAGGGCAUAAGCACAAUGAUUUAGCAUAGCUGCAGUGCAAAUGCCAAAUCUGGUCCAGAAAACAAAAGAGGAAGAAGCACUCACUAGGAGUGUUGGAUUGAGCUAUAACUUGGCAAAUCCUCAUGAUUUGGUCAUAAGUAGAUACUGUAAAAAGAUCACGCCAUGUGGACUUGCCAAAUUGGUACUUGCUUCACAAGCAUCACUUUUGACCAGAAACUUGGGAAAAUUCUAGGAAAAUAUUGGCUAAAUGAAUUUAGCCAAACUCUUGGGUAGGCGGGUUAUAUGGAUCGGAGAAGGCUUGGAAUUAUUUUCAGCCAUAAUGGAGCAAGAUAAAAUAUACUUCCUUCACAAAUUGAAAAUUUAGACAAAAAACAAUAAUUGCUCCUGUGCUAACAUAGCUCCAUUAAAUUAGCUGAAUUUGGGUGGAGGCUAAUUAUUUGGGACACUUGAGAAGAUGGCAAAGUUUCACCCCAUUUGGAAACUCUAUGAAGGUACUUCCUUCACAAAGUGACAAUCUGGUCAGAAACUUUGAAAAAUUUCACAUGGAGCUAGGAUGAUUGGAUUGAGCUCAUCUUUGGUAUCCAUGGGUGAUUUACUAAUGUUAAUCACCCUGCCAAAUUUCAGCUCAAAUGGAAUUAGUAAUAAAUCACUUCCUUUGCAAAAUUUCAGAGAAGGCAGAAUCUUGCAUUGGAUCAAGUGCCCAAUUUUUGAUCCAUGGAACAUGAGAUAAAGAUGGAACUAGUGAUUAUAUAGCAAGGACAAGCUCCACAAUUUAUGUGUGAAUUUUCCAUGAUAUAAAAAUAGUAGUUCCAUUAGAAAAUGGUAGAAAUGCAAUAUUGGUAUUAAAUAGGAAAUGGGAAUUUUCCUUAUUUAAUUAUGGACAAUAUAAUUGCCGGAGCUUGUAUUAGGCAUAAUUGUCAACUCCACCAAUUCACAUGAACUUAGGAGAUGGCUUGAUAUGCCUUUAGAUUUUAUUCCUCAGAAAGGCAAGAAAAGGAAUAAAUCAUAAUUCAAAAAUAUUGCAUGGGACUUGGCAAUAUUUUUGCAUAUCCAAGGUUGAAAAGGAUAGGAGGGUCUCUAGGAACAGAUGGGGUGAUCAACAGAUCAAGGAAAAUGAUGGAUCCUUUGUAAUCACAAAGGCCACAUUCAAAUUCCAAAAAUUUGGAAUUAGGGUUUGAGAGGGUUUAAGAUGAUGCAACUGAGGUCUUGCCCACUGAAAAAGACAUGAUCAAGUUUUGAAAGGUUGGGAAUGACAAGAAAUCUCAUAGUCAUCAGCAAAAUUCAGGAGAAAGAUUUUUAAAAUGAGUGCCAGGAAGGAAUAACAGCACAAAAUAGAUAAUCCAAUUUUGGGGCUGUUAGAAACCUUCCCCCCUUCGUCGGGGAAACUGAUCCACGAACACCUAUGGGGCCGGCGGACCGAGCCCCUUUUGGUUCGGCGGGGGGCGGAGAUCGCACGAAGAGCGGAUCGAGGCGAAGCACACGAGCAGUUUACCCAGCUUCGGAGCUCUCCGGAGAGAUAAUACUCCUACUGCUGCUUGUCUGAUUGUAUUGAGUUCUUGCUCGGGAGCGCUGAGUGCUACAGUACACACGAGCUGCUAACGAGACCGAGCGUGAGUGUUUUCUGCUUUCAAACCCUUUUCUACGUUGCACAUGGGCCUCCUUUUAUAUGCUCAAGGGGUCACCGACAGGUGGCAACGUAGACAAGGGUAAAAAUGGAAAAGGAAUUGUGGUUGGUACAGCUACCUGUACAGUGUAUCAUACCUAACCCUGACGGCAGGGGACAAAGGCAUUAAAUGCCCGUCUGCGUCGCCCAAAUAGUGCAAAAAGGACCAUCAGGGAUGCCACCGCUCGCCACGAUGGCAGUCUUGUCAGUGUCGCUUGCCACCGCGCACCGCUGGCUGCACAGCCUCUCGCCACGCGCGCCUGGAAAGGCCCCAGGGCGACACGUUGGUAGAUGUGCUGGAGCGCGGGUACAGAGUGGUAGCUUGCCGCGGCAAGCGCCUUGCCGCGGUCGUUGUCUUGUCGCGUCCGGAAGCUUGUCGCUCACCGGGCCUUGCCGGGACGCGUGGUGCGUCGCAGCAAGUUUCUUGAGAUGCUUUGGUUGGCCUUCCCGGCAAGCUCCUCUUGCCGGGGCUUGUCUCCUUGGCUUGAAUACUUUGUUCUUGAAUGGCUCCAAAGGAACCACGGAGGACCUUGGCGGUCACCAGGCAAGCCUUGCCGCGGGGUGUUGCAACUGCCCGUGCACAAGUUCGGGAUACUAGGGUACCCCUACUCUAGUACACCGACAGGAGCCCCCGGGCCUGGGCCACACACGGUGCCGAGCGCUGUUGGGCCAGGCCCGAAACAGGGCACGGGCACACGCGGCCUGGGUCACGCCGAAUCUUACUCUGUAUCCACCGCGCCCUCCCUGAACGGCACGCGUUGAAUGCGGCGUCAUGGGAGAGAUCGUGGGUGGUUUCUUUAUUAGGAAAGACGGAACGCCCGCCCCCUCCCUCCUUAUAAGCAGGGGAAACAGGGGCGGUUCGCCCAUCUCGCCGGUUGCUACUCCAAUCUCAGAAAUCUCCGCCGCUCGCCCUUUCUUCCCAAAACUGAAAGAGAGCAGCGCUCCGCCCCCCAUCGCCACCGGCAUCACCAACGCCGUCGAUCUCCCCCACCACCUCUGCCAUGGCUCCAAAAGCCGACAAGGGGAAGGUCGUGAAUUCGGCCGAGGCGCAGCGGCUCGCGGCGCUGCGGAAGGAGUGGGCAAUCUUCCCCCCCAGCUCGGCGCGAAGGAGCUAAGGGAGUACUACUACCUCUUCUGGUCGACGGAGACGCGAGCGCAUCCGCGUACGAAGGUACUCCCGGCUGCCGCUUCGGAACUAGCUCCGAAUGGCUAUCCUUUCUUCGCGCUGUUCUUCUACUGCGGUCUCUGCCCGCCUUUCUCUGAAUUUUUCUGCGAUAUCAUGAACACCUACGGGUUCCGCCUCCUUGACUUCACCCCCAAUGCCAUUCUGACCAUGGCAGUUUUCGCACAUCUCUGUGAAAACUUUGUCGGAGUCCAUCCAAAUGUAGCUCUUUUCCGCCACUUCUUUAUGCCCCGGUUUGAGAGAGGAGAGCCUUUAUCCGGCGGAAUUGCCUGGAUCUCGAGAGCUGGCAAGAAGGAAGCAUAUCUGGAGGGAGAGCUCCGCAGCAAGUGGGAGGAAUGGAGAGCAGAAUGGGGCUGGAUUGUCGAGGAGAACCCGCAGCCAUUUACCGCUCAGCGCCAAGCCCCAAUAGCGCGCGGCAACGAUUGGAGCAACGUGGCCCUGGAAGAUGAUAGGCUAAAGAUUGCCGUCACCCGGAUCUUACGCCUCAGGCUUGCUGGGCUCACUGUAGGCGCCGUUGGCGCAGAUUUUCUUCGCCGCCGCAUCGCCCCCCUGCAGGAGAGGAGGAGACCCGCCUGGGAGUUCCAAAACUCGGCGGAUAUCAUGAGGCUGCGCCCGGGCCUCAACUUCAACUUCACUGUCCUGGAACUGGACACGAUGAUCCUGGAGCUGUUCAAGCGCGAUCCUCAGCAUCCCGAUGCGUUCAUGUUGUCGAGGGGUGUCGUUCCGUUGUGCAACAACUCCUCGCUUGACCGCAUCCGCGCAAUGAUGCCGUUGUGCGAUUCGCAUGGAAUUGUCCCGACUUGGCAAGAACCUGCAGAUGAUGUCGUGCGGGAUUUCUUUGACGGCUUGGUAGAAGUGCCGGUCCGCGCUGAUGAACAGAAGAGCCUUACUCGCGACACCACCGAUGCGAAGAUGCAGCGCAUCGCCACUAGGCUGGAAGAAGCGGCAGCAGCAACUGCCGCGGGCGAGUUCGGGUUCAUCGUGGAGGAGGCAGAGGCAGCAGAGGCGGCAAGCCUUGUCGAGCGAGAGGAGUUCGCCGGUGAGGAAGAGCUUGCCGGGCCUAAAGCUGAGUCGAGCGAGCCCGGCGAGGGAGAGCUUGUCGGGCCCGAACCUUCAGACAGCUUGUCGCAAGCGGAGCCCCCAGCUGCACCAAGAAGGCGUCUUCGCAAGGCCGGGGACGUAGCGGGGCGGCAAACGAGUCAACAGCCGCCGUGCCGCGCGAUACGCUCUACCGCGGCAAGCACUGUUGCCGCGGGAGCGCCUCACGCUGCUGCGGCAACUGGGGCGGGGUCUUCUCGGUCCACCGCUACUGCCCCUGCCAAGCGGGCAAGGGAACCUACUCCUCCGCCUCGUCGCACCGGAGGCGAGCCGGACUUCGAUCUCUCCGCGCUCAGCUCCGACAAGGAAGAAGAAGUGUAAGAUUCUUCGCUGUACUUGUAGUUCUUCAAUUCUUGCUGUUUUUGUCUUGUAUCUGAUUUGUUUUACUCCGAACCCAUUCCUUUUCAGGACUCUGGCCCAGAGAGCGGCGAAGAGAGCCAAGGUCCCGGUGAUUUUCAUCGAGGACGAACCCACCGCGACAGCAGAGGGCGUGUCCGAGACCACCUUGCCGGACCCGGCAACUAUUCCCCAGCGCAGCCCCCAGCGUAAGUAUAUGGUUUGCUUCUUGCUGACAGGCGCUCAUGGGUGCUCUUUCUUUGCUGAUAUCUAACUGCUGGUUUGUGCAGGAGCAGAGCAGCCUCACCAGGAGUGCCCGGAAGCCGCUCCCGAAAUGCCAUCUGCUUCGACUACACCGCCAAGGGAGGAUUCCCCGGCAAGGGAGCGUUCUCCGGCAAGGGAGAAAUCUCCGGCAAGGGACAGUUCUCCGGCAAGGGACAACACCUGUGAUCCUCCGGUGGUUGAGACCACGACCGCAGAUCCUAGCACAGGUAAUCCUUUUGCUUGAAAACUUCCCUUGGGUUCUUCUUCUUAUGUCUUUUUGGAUAUUUGCUUGACUUUUCUCCUCUUUCCGUUCGUCAGAUCCAUCUGCCACGGAGCCUAUGGAAACUGAGGUCGCCGGCGAGGAGAACGCGUGCAGCAAUACCGACGACGCCGUUGCCACCGAAGGAGAAGCCGACGCUGAUGAUCCUGCCAGCGAAGAGGCUGCCAAAGCUGCCGCUGCAAAAGCUGGCGAGGGAUCCGGCGAUCGCACUGACGGCCCCGAGGCCGCAGGAGCGUCAGCCGCUACGCCGACCGCUGAUCCCUCCGUCGCUGCUGCAGCGCCAGGCUCCAAAGAGCCCCAGCCCGGUGCCUAUUUGAAGGUCGGCGACGGUAUCUUCAGCAAGCUCCCCUGGGCGUCAAGCUCCAGGGCGCCGGUCGAAGGAGAAAUCUUGGAUGGAGAGGUGCUCGCCUCCGCUGGGCUGACGCUGGUCGACGCGCCAAGCAGCAGCGGCGACGAGCCUGAGGAGGAGCGGCUGCUACGGAAGCUGUUGUCGCUUUACCGCGCCCGACAGGCCAAGCUGGAAUCCCGAGAAGCGCUUGUCGCGAAGGCGGGAGUGGAUAUCGAGAAGCGCGCGGAGGAGCUCCGAGGUCUUAGGCAGGAAGCUCUCCGGUCCCUGGCAGAGGAGCGGGAGCAAUUCGCCGAGGAGCGGAAAGCCUUCCUCCUCGAGAAGGCUGAGGUUGAAGAGCAACAGCGGCUCGUUGCCGAGAAGCUAUCUGCGCAAGAAGGCGAGUUGGUGCAGCGCAAGGUCAACCUUGACAGCCACGAGGAGGAGCUUGCCGCGUGCGAGCAAGCAAUUGGCGGGGCUCUCAAGGAGGCAGAGGAUGCUGCCGCAGCUGCCGAGGCCGCCAAGAAGGAGCUGGAGACGAAGGUGGCGCAGCUGGAAGCCGAUCUCAAGGCGAGCGGCGAGGAGCUUGCCGCGCUCAAGCGUGAGCGCGAGAAGGACGCCGCCGCUCAUGGAGAGCUGCAGGGUCGUCUCACUGAGAGGAGCAAAGAACUUAGUGCCGCCAAGGACUCCAACGCAGAUCUCGAGUUGAAGCUGGCCACGUUGACUCAGACGCUGGACGGCGCUAGGGAGCAGGAGGUGGCCUUGAAGGAGAAGAUCAAGGCCGACGAGGCGCUGCUGGCGAGUGCUGCUGCCGCCCAGAAGUCUUUUAGGGAGACUGUGGAGCACUGGACCGAGGGUCUCGUGAAUGUCGCCGCAGCCAUCGACGGGGAGCUGGCGCAGCUGGGGAUGGAGGAUCUCGGGUAUCCCUCCGAUGAGCACCUCCAACCCAGCGCCAAGCUCAGCUUGUUCUUCAAAGGCGUGGCGACGGCCCUCCAGCGACUCCGGGAGAAGAUCCCAAAGCAGCUGGCCAGCGAGUCGCGCAAGAUCUGCGUGGGAGCUCUUCAAAAAGUGCUGGUGAAGGUGGCCUACCGCAACCCAGGCCUCAACCUCACCAACGUCCUCAGGUCCCUGCCGCCGGACGCUGAUCUAGAAGCGCUCAAGGCCCUUGUCGCACCCAUUGUGGACAAGGUGAGCGGAAUCAAGAGGGUUGAGGGCGAUCGCGUAGAUUAGGCCGCCUGUUUUGUCUUUUUCUUUGUCGCUGCGGGUCAUGUCAUGAGAACAAUCUGUUAGAGCUGCGACAAGCUACCUUGUAAUAUAACUCUAUUUUGGGUAGAGAUUGCUGUGUUAUUUCCUUUACUUGAUUCCUUCCUUUGUAUGUUUUUACCCUACGCUUUUAGGGAACUUGUCGGCGCAGGCACCUGGGCCGCGAGCGCUGAGUGCGGGACGUCAGCAGCCUGCUGGCGUUGCUGCUUCUGACAAGAAACCUUGUCGCAACUAGUCGCAGCUCACUUACAUUGUUGAGCGGACUCGAAACAAAGUAAGGGCACAACUAGCUACGAGUUGGUUCCUCCGCACACAGGUUUUCCAUACAAAGCACGGUCGUUCGAGGAAGAUAACUUAAAAAUUUAAAAACUGAUUGCUCAAACUUUGGCAACUUAGCUUUUCUGUCGCUUGCUUUCCGGUAAGGCGAAACUUCCUUGAACGAUGCCUGAUCCACACCAUUAUCUUCUCCUUUCCCCCCGGCAAACUUGUGGGCGAGGGAACCUUCUUUUCCUUUUUGAGAAAAAGAAAGAAGAGAAAAUAAAGAUAUGGAACCUUACGGCUCGUUAUUUCUUAUCGGGGGUAGGUGCUGCACAAAGUGUCAGAUAACGCAUGCAAAGUAAAAAAGCAUGAAAUUGACAAGAUGUGCAGAGCACAUGAGCUUUACUUAUGCACGGGGUCUGCGCCCGACUUCGUACAAAGGAUUGCAUGCAACAUCGGCAAGACUUGUACAAAAGGUGGUUGCCGGAACAGUUUCCGGCAACCGCGCCUUACGAGUAAAACUUACGAAGAUGCUCAAUGUUCCAGGAGUUGCUCACCGGAGUGCCAUCUUCGGUCUCAAGGCGGACAGCGCCAGGCCUAGUGACUCGUUUCACCCGGUAAGGGCCUUCCCACUUCGGCAUCAACUUGUUGGAAUUCUUGGCGGACUGAACGCGCCGAAGAACAAGGUCGCCUUCCUCGAGACUUCUAGCACUAACUUUGCGGCUAUGGUAGCGGCGCAAAGCUUGCUGGUAUCGAGCAGCUCGUACAGCGGCCUGAAGACGGUCUUCCUCAAGGAGCAGCGCGUCAUCUUGUCGCAAUUGCUCUUGCUCAAGCUCAUCAUAAGCGAGCACUCGAGGUGAUCCGUAUACGAGUUCCGUGGGGAGAACUGCCUCUGCUCCAUAGACUAGAGCGAAAGGUGUCUGGCCAGUGGCUCGAUUUGGCGUCGUCCUGAUCGACCAAAGAACCACCGACAGCUCCUCAAUCCAGUUCUUUCCGCACUUGUGCAGCCUGUCGAAAGUUCUGAUCUUGAGCCCGCGCAGCACUUCAGCAUUCGCCCUCUCUGCUUGACCGUUGCUUCUCGGAUGAGCAACAGAAGCGAAGCAGAUCUUGGCGCCAAGAUCUUGGACGUACUGCAUGAAGGUGCGGCUCGUGAAUUGCGUGCCGUUGUCGGUGAUGAGCCUGUUAGGGAUCCCGAAACGACAAACAAUCGACCUGAAGAACUUGACUGCUGACUGUGCUGUCACCUUCCUCACUGGUUCCACUUCCGGCCACUUUGUGAACUUGUCGAUUGCAACGUACAAGUACUCAAAGCCCCCGACAGCUCGGGGAAAGGUGCCGAGGAUGUCAAGCCCCCAGACCGAAAAUGGCCAGGAUAAAGGGAUCGUCUAGAGAGUUUGAGUUGGCUGGUGUAUCUGCUUGGAAUGGAACUGGCACGCUUCACACUUGGUUACUUGUGUAGUUGCAUCCUGGAGGGCUGUCGGCCAAAAGAAACCUUGCCGGAAUGCUUUGCCGGCAAGUGCUCUUGUGCCAAUGUGGUGACCACAUAUGCCUCCAUGUAUCUCUGCCAACAGCUUUUGUCCGUCUUCCCGAUGAAUACACUUCAAUUUCACACCGUUGAUUCUUCUUCUGUACAGUAUGUUGUCUACAAACUUGUACAUACUUGACUGCCGGGCUACUCUUUCUGCUUCUUCUUGAUCUUCGGGAAGUUCUCCUGUCUGAAGGAAACGGACAAUCUGCUGUGCCCAUGCUGGAGCUUGUGGCUCGACAACAAGGACUAAAGGCACAUAUGCUGCUGCAGGAACAUCCGCUUCUACGGCGAGAACCUGCGGUUCAGCCGGAGCUUGACGUUCCCCGGCAAGCUUGCCGGAGCAAAACUUGUUGGGAGCGUCUGCUUCAAUGGAACAAGCCCUAGGGCUUGCCAGAGCAGACUGCUCCUCAGCACCCUUGGUGUUGAUCUUGAUGACCUUCUUGGCGGCUGCUUCGGGGAGCUCUGCCAGAAAAUAAUCACCAGAAAUCAACUUCCUCUUCUUGCUCUGUCCAGUUGAUGGUGUUACAGAUGGUUGAGUUAGCUUGAGCACAAAGAUCCCUGGUUCCAGAGGUAACUUAAGUGCGGCGCACUUUGACAGGCCAUCGACAAUGUCAUUCUGAGCCCUUGGAACAUGUUCCAUCUGUAGGCCGUCAAAGUGCUCUUCUAGCUUUCUCACUUUAUCAAUGUAAGCUUCCAUCAACGGACUCUGAUAAUUCUUGUUCACUUGGCGGACGACAAGCUGUCAGUCACCCCUGACAAUGAGCUUCUUGAUCCCAAGGUCUGCUGUGAUCCUGAGACCGGCAAGCAAACCUUCAUACUCUGCGGUAUUGUUUGUUGCUUGCUCCUUGGGAAAGUGCAUUUGGACUACGUACUUGAGGUGCUCUCCGGUGGGUGCAACAAGUAACACGCCCGCACCGGCGCCUUGCAGCGAGAAGGCACCAUCGAAGUACAUCAGCCACUCCUUGCUCGCUUCCUUGACGGGGAUGCUCGUGUCUGGAAUUUCUUCAUCUUGUGUUGGCGUCCAUUCUGCUAUGAACUCCGCUAAUGCCCUGGUUUGUAUAGUUGAAGUGCUCUCAAACUUGAGGCCAAAGCUUGACAGUUCCAGUGCCCACUCGACAAUCUUGCCCGUUGCUUCUGGAUUUUGCAGUAUCCUCUUCAGCGGAAAACGAGUGACAACUGUGAUCUCAUGUGCUUGGAAGUAAUGGCGCAGCUUUCUCGAGGCCAUGAGAAGGCCGAAAAGCAAUUUCUAAACACCAGAGUACCUUGAGCUAGCCCCCUGUAGAAGGGAACUAACAAAGUAAACUGGGCGCUGCACCAUUCUCUUCUGCAUCUUCUCACGCGCCUGCGCAGAUCCAUCUUUGUCGGGACCAGAGCUUGUCGGUGAAGUCCCUUGCUUAUCGCUGGAUGCACCUGCCGUGGUUGCUGGCUCAUCAUCUGCCUCCCUCUCCACCACUAACGCAGCACUAACCACUUGAUUGGUUGCCGCUAUAUAUAGCAGCAACUUCUCUUGUGGCUUAGGUGCGACAAGUGUUGGAGUGGAGGAUAGGUAUUUCUUCAAGUCCUGCAGUGCAACCUCCGCCUCUGGAGUCCAUUUCAUUGGACCUGCCUUUUUCAAUAUUUGGAAAAACGGCAGGGCGCGCUCAGCAGAUCUAGAGAUAAACCUGCUGAGAGCAGCCACGCAACCGACAAGUCUUCGUACAUCCUUGACGCGCUUUGGUGCUUCAAUCUGCUCAAUGGCCUUGAUCUUGUCGGGAUUGGCUUCAAUUCCCCGCCGAGACACGAAGAACCCGAGAAGCUUGCCGGAGGGGACUCCAAACACACACUUCUCGGGGUUAAGCUUGAGGUUGAUCUUGCGCAGAUUUGCAAAGGUUUCGUCUAAAUCUUGAAUCAGAGUCGCCUUGUCCUUGCUCUUGACCACUAUGUCAUCCAUGUAGGCUUCCACAUUUCUGUGUAUUUGUGGCUCAAAAGCGUCAUGGACUACCCUUGCAAAUGUUGAACCAGCAUUCUUUAAACCGAAAGGCAUCCGUACGAAACAGUAUGUGCCACAUGGGGUAAUGAAUGUGGUCUUCUCCUCAUCUUCUUCUGCCAUGAAGAUCUGAUGGUAUCGUGAGUAUGCAUCAAGAAACGAAAGCAAGUCACAUCCGGCCGUGGAGUCAACAAUCUGGUCGAUGCGCGGCAAGGGAAAUGGGUCUUUGGGACAAGCUUUAUUGACAUCAGUAAAGUCGAUACAAAGCCUCCAUUUCCCAUUUGCCUUGCGCACGACUACAGGGUUGGCCAACCACGUAGGAUGGAGCACUCCUCUGACAAGGCCCGCUGCUUCCAAUUUCCUGAUUUCUUCUGCGAUGAAUUCUUGGCGCUCCACUGCCUGCUUCCUGACUUUCUGCUUGAUGGGCCGCGCAUGAGGAUAGACGGCAAGAUGGUGCUCGAUUACUUUCCUGGGAACACCGGGGAUGUCAGACGGUUGCCAUGCAAACACGUCGAUGUUCGCCCGCAGGAAAGCAACAAGCGCGCUUUCCUAUUUAGGGUCGAGAGUGGCACUGAUGGUAAAGGUACCACCAGUGCCGUCCUCCUUGGCGGACACCUUCUUGGUCUCUGGUGGAGCUGCCAUUGUCUUCUUACACUUGCCGGUGGAGCUCAAUGGUGCAUCCUCGACGGUAGCGCAGCACUCUGAAGAGGUGCGCUUGCCGGAGUAGGCAUCAGAACUCUUGCCGGACUUGGUCUUUUUCUUCCCCCCGGGAGCCUCAGCGGCAAGUGACCUGCGAUCCGUUGCGGCUGCUGCUUCCCGGUAAAUCUUGUCGGCGUAGAUAAGAGCAUCCUUCUUGUCGCCAGGGACAGAGAUGACACUUAUCGGGCCUGGCGUCUUCAGUAUGUUGUAUGCAUAGUGAGAGGCCGCCAUGAAUUUGGCGAGUGCUGGACGGCCUAGUAUCCCAUUGUAAGGCAAUGGAAAGUCAGCAACGUCAAAAGUGACCCUCUCAGUCCUGAAGUUCAACUCGCUGCCAAAUGUCACCGGCAACGUGAUCUUUCCCUUUGGCUCGCUCCUUCCCGGAUUGAUUCCUUGGAAUGUGCCGGUCUCUUCGAGCUCGCUGUCAGGGAUUUGGAGUUUCUGGAGUACCACGGAGGAGAUCAGGUUCAAGCCGGCCCCGCCGUCAACUAGCAUCUUAGUGACCUUGAGGUUGCGGAUAGUUGGUGAAACCAACAUCGGCAAGCACCGGACCGCAGUUAUGCGAUCAGGGUGGUCCUCAAUAUCAAAGAUGAUAGGCGUGCUGGACCAUUUCAGAGGCUUGCGUGACUCGAUGGGUGGUUCUGCCGCAUUGACUUCCCGCAUUCACUGCUUGAGCUGGCGGUGUGAAGUAUGCAUAGAAGCACCGCCGUCAAUGCACAGGACCUCUGUGGCUUUCUAGAACUCCUGCUCAUCAGUCUCGUCAUCAUCCAUAUCUUCAUCGUCGUCGUCAUCUUCAUCCUUGUCGCGGCCACGGGGAGGUCUGUCUCCUUGCCGCUGCUUGGCCUUGCCGCUGGAUCCUCCUCGGCCGGGGCGUUUCUUGCCGGCUCCCCCAGCACCUUCCUGGGCCUUCUCCUUGUCGCGUCGCUCGUAUUCAGCUUUUUGCUGCUCGACAAGCUGCUCGACCUUCUUGCAACUCUGGAGAUCAUGGCCCUUGGUGCGGUGGAUCUUGCAGUACUGCUUGCUGGUGCCGUCCUGCUUGUCGGCGACCGCCACAGCCUGGUAGUUGGUGCCUGCGGCAAUCUCCUUGUCGGAGCUACUAGCUUUGGCUUUCUUGGUGCUACCUCCAUUGCCGAACUGCUCAACGACUAACACAUCUUUGCCUUUCUUUUUCCUGCUAUUCCGCCGCCGGUUUUUCUUUGCCGGGGCAGCAUCCUCACUAUCAGAUCCUCCUGCUUCUGUAUUUUCUCCGGGGAGUUUCCUCCCUUCCUCAGCACGUGCACACUUGUCGGCCAGGGCAUAUAGCUCACUGACGUCUCUGAUCUUGCACAUCGCCAUUUCCUCCCGCAUCCUGCGGUUUCGCACGUUCUGAUGGAACGCGCUGAUUACCGCGGCAGGGUGGACAUCUGGGAUGUAGUGCUGUACGCGGCUGAAUCUUUGAAUGUACUUGCGCAGGGGCUCUCCUUCCUUCUGGGCGAGCAGAUCAAGGUUGCUCUCUUGGCCAUGACGCUUGUGGCCGCCCGUAAAGGCGCCGACAAACUGAUGGCAUAGAUCUGCCCAAGAGGAUAUGGAGUUGUCCGUCAAGUGCAUGAGCCAGGAUCUGACAUUGGGCUUGAGCACCAGCGGGAAGUAGUUGGCGAGGAUCUUGUCAUCCCGUCCCCCGGCAGCUUGCACCGCGAUGGUGUAAAUGCUGAGGAACUCCGACGGAUGCGACUUGCCGUCGUACUUCUCUGGUACGUCUGGCUUGAAAUUCUUCGUGCUGGGCCACUGGACUUGCCGCAGCUCACGAGUGAACGCAGGGCAACCUACCGCGUACGGCAAGUCGCCUGGUUCCCCUGGCGCAUGCAUGUCGAUAGAGGGCCCAGCGCGCUGGUCGGAUUGACGCCGCACUUCUCUUUGGCGCUCGAUGCGAGUACGAGCGUCUUCUUGCUGUCGUUCGUGAAGAACUUGGCAUUGAUCGCGACGAGCUCGUGGAUCUGAUGAUGCGGUGGAGUCGCUGUCGAGGUGGAUCCGGUGAGUCGGUGAUCUUGGCCUUCGGGGUGGGGAGCGCAUGGUGGUUGCACCCCACCGGUUUCGUCGCCAUCGGCUCGUGCCUGGCGGUCCUGCCGCGGCAGCGAUGUACUCAGCUGCCGCGGAGUGUCACUGUUGGCAUAGCCGAUGAGACUCUGAAUGGUGGCCCUCCAUUCAUCGAUCUUGUCCACCGUUGGAGGGUAAUCCAGGAGCAGUUGAGCUCGCGCCAAAGCUUCUGCUGGAGUGGUGGGCGGUAGCGGCGAACGGUGCGAGGAGCGGGAUAUGCUCGGACUUCUAACUAUGUUAGAAGGAGCAGUAUCCCGUCCAGGCGACCGUGUCUCGCUCGUGCCAGUAUGUUGGCGUGCAUGCUGGUCUUGAGCACCCCGAGACCCGCCAUCUCGAUCUUGGUCCAACAAACGUAUGGUACUGCGAAUACCAUGACGCUAUCGGUCCUGCGCCUCCUGAGAUGGGCGCGGUGCAUGUACGGACGCCGAGGUCUGCGCAGCCUUGUCCUUGGACCUGGCAGCACCGUGAGCUCCCUCGUCGUUGUUCGUUCUUCCGCCGACGCCUACCCCACCACUCGUUUGCUCCGGUGGUGGUGGGAUCGACGUGGACGGAACAACUGUCGCUGAGGCCUUCUUCUUCGGUGGCAUGUCGAUGAAGAAGGUGGAGAUGUAGCUCGUGUGAACGCCAGAUUAGGUUCAUGCAACCUCGACGCCCCCUACCUGGCGUGCCAAAGAUGUCGGGGAAACUGAUCCACGAACACCUAUGGGGCCGGCGGACCGAGCCCCUUUCGGUUCGGCGGGGGGGCGGAGAUCGCAUGAAGAGCGGAUCGAGGCGAAGCACACGAGCAGUUUACCCAGCUUCAGAGCUCUCCCGAGAGAUAAUACUCCUACUGCUGCUUGUCUGAUUGUAUUGAGUUCUUGCUCGGGAGCGCUGAGUGCUACAGUACACACGAGCUGCUAACGAGACCGAGCGUGAGUGUUUUCUGCUUUCGAACCCUUUUCUACGUUGUGCAUGGGCCUCCUUUUAUAUGCUCAAGGGGUCACCGACAGGUGGCAACGUAGACAAGGGUAAUAAUGGAAAAGGAAUUGUGGUUGGUACAACUACCUGUACAGUGUAUCAUACCUAACCCUGACGGCAGGGGACAAAGGCAUUAAAUGCCCGUCUGCGUCGCCCAAAUAGUGCAAAAAGGACCGUCAGGGACGCCACCGCUCGCCACGAUGGCAGUCUUGUCAGCGUCGCUUGCCACCGCGCACCGCUGGCUGCACAGCCUCUCGCCACGCGCGCCUGGAAAGGCCCCAGGGCGACACGUUGGUAGAUGUGCUGGAGCGCGGGUAUAGAGUGGUAGCUUGCCGCGGCAAGCGCCUUGCCGCGGUCGUUGUCUUGUCGCGUCCGGAAGCUUGUCGCUCACCGGGCCUUGCCGGGACGCGUGGCGCGUCGCGGCAAGUUUCUUGAGAUGCUUUGGUUGGCCUUCCCGGCAAGCUCCUCUUGCCGGGGCCUUGUCUCCUUGGCUUGAAUACUUUGUUCUUGAAUGGCUCCAAAGGAACCACGGAGGACCUUGGCGGUUACCCGGCAAGCCUUGCCGCGGGGUGUUGCAACUUCCCGUGCACAAGUUCGGGAUACUAGGGUACCCCUACUCUAGUACACUGACACCCUUAAAAAGAAUCUCGUCCUCGAGAUUCCUAGGGUUACAGCACAAAUCAAAAGAUAACCACUCCGGGGAAAAAUCUCUGGGUUAAAUUUAACCCUUUGGUCAAACUCGAACGAGUUGGGGGCAUCGAUAAUUGGUACACCGAGGGAGAGAUAUGGGCAAAUAUGAUUAUGUCCACGGCUAGGGGCACUCGAGAUCAAACUCUCGAAAAAUUGCUAGAUGCACCCAGUGAACAAUGGACUGACCUGCUGACACGUGGGUCCAGGGCCCACUGGCAGCCUCCUUCUUCUACCUCCGGCUAACUGCUUCUCCUGUGCUGCUGCAUCGUGUGCGGCUUGGCGCAGCGCGCAUCUAGCUCCCAGGGCGAUGAGGACCCUAGUGCCGUAGUGCACGUCGUGCACGGAGCCGAUGCAACGAGCACUCACGUCGCGGGCCAGCACCUUGUCGGCACUAUUCGCGGAUUCGCCUCCUGGACGCCGGUGUCGGGCGAUGAGCGAGUUUCCUGGACUCCGCUCACCACACACCGGGGUUGGGCUAUAAAAACGGCAGCGCGGCUUGCUACCAACACACAAACACAAUGCCACUCUACUAUCUCUUUGGUUUGAGCGAGAUCGAGCCAAGCUCCUUCGGCGAGGAGGUGUUCUUGGUGGCGCUAUGGUUGUUCCUUGCGGCACUGCUGGGUACGCUAAUCGGCUCAUCGAUCCUCCUAGUGAUUCUCAUCAGGAACAUGCGAGCUCGAGACAAUGCACGGCUGGUGGCUCGAGGUGUGGAAGAAGACGGUGCAUGGGGUGGUCCUCCGCCACGCUUGAUCCUCCAUCGCUUUGCGCCAGCGGAGUAAUCGCGUGCUGCGGUGGAGCGGUGAUGGCGACUUGUGGCGCUACGCAAGGCAGUGAUGAUGGUGCUGAUGGGGUCCGGAUGCAGGUGAGGUGGCUAUGCCAGCUCAGGAGUCGAUUUAGGGCACGGGAAAAAUUCACGGAUUGCUCCAUGAAAUGUAGGUGUCGAGGUAGAAUCGGAGUUGAAAUCUGUAUCGGGGAGUUGUAAUGGAUCGAGUGAAAUAAAGCUGGCACUGUUUCUCCGGAAACACAAUUGGGUUCACGAAAAAGAAUCAAGGGCGAGAAAUGGCCAGAUGACAAUGGCCUCUUCAAUGUUCUGGGUUUGGAAAAUCUGGCACACGGGGUAUGCACAGAUAAAGAGGAAUAUGUGACUUUGCAUUUCCCCGAGUACUGCUCAAUUGUACUCGUGGGUUAACCGGGUAUGCGCACAGUAUGCAGAAACAUCUAAACAAAAAGACAGAUGCAAUAAACAUGCAACAGAAAACAAACUAGACAAAUCACACUAAGGUGUUUUAAUGCUAGUGGGUAUAUGUACUCCUGGUAUACAUAUACCUACACCAGCGUGCAUUUUAUUAGAGACUCGGAACGAGUCAAUGUUGUUUUUAGUGUAUGUGUCCUACUGAUUAGAAUCUUGUUAGCACACAUUGCCAACCCUAUAAAACAUUUCCGUUUGACAGAGAGACAAACAAAAACAAACACAAAAACAGAAGCACGAAAACAAAUAACACAUCAUACGAGUUACAACAGUACCAUCAUACAACAAACACAGACGCACUAUGCGCUAAUCGAAACUACUCGAUGUGGGAUACAUGGUUCUAUCCUCAUAUCGGGGAUGAACCGACAGACCGACCCUCUAGCAGAAACCACUGACUGCAUGACUGAGGUCAUGCAGAAGACUGGCCUUGCUGGGGCUCUCCUGGAGGACGAAGACUGAGCCAAUCUCCAUCUUCAUCGUCUGACACUUCUAUGGGUUGGGGCGGUGGGGCUGAAAUUGCUCCAGGAAAAUGCUGCUGAUGGAUCCGGAGAAGAGCCUUGUCGAGGGUGAUGAUGUUUGGCUUGGGCCACAGUACAGGCUGAGAGGAUAGCACUGGUUUGGAUGGCGUUGGGUAAACAACUUGAGAUGCGAACUUAUGAGCCUCACAGUAAGCUUCCUUGACGACUCGUACCACAUUAUUGUCCAUGGCUCUAAACUCGGCAAGCAGCAUUGAAAUCAACAUCCCCUGGGCAGUGAUGUAUUGCACCAAGCGAGCGAUUGUGUAACGCCCCAGAUUCGACGCGCCAGGUGUCCGCCAGUUAUUCGCCGUCAUUGCCAUGUCAUUUGCUUACGUGUUGCAUUUUGCCAUGUCAUCAUGUGCAUUGCAUUGCAUUGCAUACGUGUUCGUCUCAUGCAUCCGAGCAUUUUCCCCGUUGUCGGUUUUGCAAUCUGACACUCCUAUGUCCUCCGGUGUUCCCCUCUUGUGUCUUGUUGUAAGCGGGUGUUAAACAUUCUCGGAAUGGACCGUGAUUUGCCAAGCGGCCUUGGUACACCACCGGUAGACCGCCUGUCAAGUUUUGUGCCAUUUUUAGUCCGUUUGAUACUCCAACGGUUAACCGGGUAACCGUAAAAGUCUCUUUUGUUUGCAGCCCAAAACCCCUUCAAAGCGGCCCAAAAACCCAUCUAAGUCAUCUCCUUGCUCUCGGUCGUCCGAUCAUGAUCGUGUGGGCGAAAACCGCACCUCUUUUGGACUCUCCUAGCUCCCUCUACAUAUAAAUAUGUGCCCCUCCCCGAAAUUUCGUGUAGAGGAAACCCUAGAUCUCCUUCCACCGCGCCACCGGACUUGUCCGUCCGCCAUCAGACGCGUCCAUCGCGGCCGCCACCUCACUCUGGCCAAUCAGAGGUCGCCACAUCAGCCGCGCCGCUGCUCCCCUCCAAUCCCCUCGCGCCACCUGGCCUCUCCACCUUGCCUCCACAGCGCCCUGCCGCCACAGCCCCUGCAGGCCCACUCGCGGCCUGCGCGAGCCCGACCGGGCUCGUGCCGCCCUGUCUCGCCGGCGAGUAGCUCCCGAGGCCUCCCCGCCGUCGAGCAUCGCCAUCCCCGCUGCCCGACCUUGUCACUCCAGCCGCCGCCCAACGUUCGCCCCGCGCGCCCCUCCGCCUCGUUGUUCCACCGACGAGCACCGCACCCUGCCGCCGGCGCCUUCCUCCACUGCCCAGUGCCCGAAGGCCGCCGCCUCCACGCCCGCACCUCCCGUCGCUCUCCAGCGCCGCCCCGCGAGCUCCCUCGAGCUUCCGCCUCCGCGAAUGGAUGGAUCCGGCCGGGAUCCGCCAGAUCCGGCCAUCCGCGACCUCCGCCCCUCGCCGGAGCACCUCCCCCCUUCGCCGUUGACCGUCGGUCGCCGCCGCCCUGGUCCCGCUCGGGGUCGAUCCAGGAGGACGACGGCCGCGUCCCCGCGUCGGCCGGACCCCGUGGGCCCCGGUGCCCCGGCCAUCUUCUGGCCCACCUCCUCCAGCCAGCCUCUUCUCCACGUCUGGGCCGAAGCCCAUGGUGAGCCGCCGGCAAACCCUCGCCCCGUGCGUAAUUUAGUGAUCUUGCAUCUCCCUCUUUUUCCCCGUAAAUCUGCCAAGUCCCCAGAGAUCAUAACAUUUUGUGCCCAUGUUCAUCGCAUCAUAAUUUCAUGUGUGCUGCUCCGUUUUGCGUGCAUAAUAUAUGAAAAUGUUCACUGUGAGAUGCUCUUCAUUUCAUUCCAUUCUUCCAUUCUUGUUUGAGAUUAUCUUGAUGCCCUAAUCAUCGUUGCAAGAGUGCUAUAUGAUGUUAACCUGCUGAAAAUGUUAUAACUUGUUGUUGUCUUUUUCGUUUCAUUUUGUGUGUGCAUCCUAUGAGCUUGAUAUCUACAUGAGUUUUGAGAUACAACAUGCCAUCUUUACAGUGGUGCAAUUAAUGUAUUUUUGUGAGCCUUGUAGUGAGUGGAUCGAGCUCCUGAAGUAGGGUACUUGCUGUUGCUGUUUUGCUAGUCUGAAUCUGCUAUAUCAUGAUGCUAUGUAAACCUGCUGCUACAAGUCAUUCUAUGCAUAAUCUGGAGAUGUUCACUAAGGAUGUUUUGUUACAAAUGUCAUGCUCUAUCUAUUAAUGCCCCCGGUUGCAUUUAUAGCCUGCUGUAACUUGUUGUUAUCUUGAUCCAAACUUGCUAAAUUAUGUUGCCGUCAGCCUGUUAACAUUAAGUUCAAUGUUGCCAUGAUUGUUGUUAGUGAUCCAAGCAUGCUAUGAACUUGCUCUUGCCAUGUUUAGCUUCAUAAAUAUGCCAUCUUACUGUUGGUCACCUUGUAAUUCCAUGUAUUGCUCUGUGGUGAACCGUUGCUCCGUUUUGAGUGUGCUCUAUAUGAAACUUGCUUGAUUUUGCAUGAAGUUUCAUAUUAUCAUGUUGCAUCCUUAUUUUGAGAGUGUUUGCUUGAUGUUUGAAUGCCUUUUGCAUCAAUGCCAUGUUUAACUUGUUUUGCUCAUAUCUUCUAGGCCGUAGCUCCGAAUUAAAUGAACUUUAUAUGUAACUUGACUAGAAUAUCGUGUAGAUCAUCUUGGUGCUUUUAACUUGCUGUUUAGCAACUUGAACAUAAGGUUUAUUCAGUUCUGGACCAAUUUCUAAAUUCGCAUAUGAGGACCUACCGGAAUUGUUCUAUGUUGUUUCCGGCCUCAUUUAACUUUGCUUUGAUGUGUUGUUCUGGUAUGCAUCAUCUCUUGCCAUGAGUAGCUUCAUGUAGUCUUGUCUUGCAUCAUACUUGGUUGAGCAUCAUGUCAUGUAUAUGUGUGGUGUGUAUACUAUGUUGUGUGCUUCUUCUCGAUAGUUCCUGUUUCGUUGCGAUCGUGAGGAUUCGUUCGUCUACGCUUGGUUCGGCUUCAUCCGUUCGUCUUCUUCAUGGACUCGUUCUUCUUCCUAGCAGGAUUUCAGGCAAGAUGACUGUCACCUUAGAUCUCAUUACUAUCAUUGCUAUGCUAGUUGCUUCGUUCUAUCGCUUUGCUGCGCUACCUAUCACUUGUUCUUCAAGCCUCCCCAAAUUGCCAUGUUAGCCUCUAACCUUUUUCACCCUCCCUAGCAAACCGUUGUUUGGCUAUGUUACCGCUUUGCUCAGCCCCUCUUAUAGCAUUGUUAGUUGCAGGUGAAGUUGAAGAUUGCUCCAUGGUGGACAGGAUUAUGUUGGGAUAUCACAAUAUCUCUUAUAUUAUUAAUGCAUCUACAUACUUGGUAAAGGGUGGAAGGCUCGGCCUUAUGCCUGGUGUUUUGUUCCACUCUUGCCGCCCUAGUUUCCGUCAUAUCAGUAUUAUGUUCCUGGAUUUUGCGUCCCUAACGCGGUUGGGUGAUUUAUGGGACCCCCUUGACAGUUCGCCUUGAAUAAAACUCCUCCAGCAAGGCCCAACAUUGGUUUUACCAUUUGCCUACCACCUAUACCUAUCCCUUGGGAGUAUUUAACCCAAGGGUCAUCUUUAUUUUAGCCCCCCCCCAGGCCAGUGCUUCUCUAAGUGCUGGUCCGAACCGAGUAGACUGCAGGGCCCCCUCAGGGACACUCGAGGUCUGGUUUUACUCGUAGGAUGUCUCAUCCGGUGUUGCCUUGAGAACGAGAUAUGUGCAGCUCCUAUCGGGAUUGUCAGCGCAUCUGGCGGCUUUGCUGGUCUUGUUUUACCAUUGUCGAAAUGUCUUGUAACUGGGAUUCUAAGACUGAUCGUGUCGUGGAUUUGUCACGGCAGAUGUCCUUAGUGUCAGGACUUAGUCGCGAGGCCAACACAUCUAUGUGGUAGCUUGAGAGGGGUUGAGCGGAAUCGAGAGACGCAACACAAGACAGGGAUUUAGACAGCUUCAGGCCCCGGGAAACAUCAUUCGGUAAAAACCCUACAUGCUGUUUGAGGAUAGAUCUCAUUACCAUUAUGAGGGAGUCGCCGUAAACCGGCUCUCCUCUUUGUGUCUAGCCCUAAGAUUGUUUCUUCUUGCUUGUAGCCUGUCCCCCUUUGGGGAGCCCUGCCCCUCCUUAUAUAUGUUGAAGGGGCGGGUUACAUGUGGAGUCCUAUUAGGAUUAGGACUAGUCUCCCUUCUAAUACAAACCGGAUACAAGUCUGGGUCUUCCUUGUAAAGUAAAUAUUCCUCAUGCCUUUUCUCUUAAACCGGCCCACCAUAGCAUGAUCCGGCCAUCCAUAAACCGCCCGUUGGGCCACCGGGUCUUGUCGCUCCUCUGACCCGCCUGCCGGAUUACCAAUGAACCGUAAACCGCCAUGUCCAACUAGGUUGCCAGUGAAUCGCCAAACUCUAGCCGGGUCAUACAUCCAGCGGUUUAUACCGCGGGGUAUAUCCCCGACAUUAGCCCCCAGUUUAAUUUGGAUUCAUCCAUGUUAAACUGAUCUGCAACAAGAACAAAUUUGUCGGGUUGUGCUCCGGUUUAAAUAUACUUGUAAGCCGGCACUUGAUCAUCCUUAAAUCCUUGUCAUUUCUUCCUUCCAAGUUAAUAACCAUCUUCAUAAUCAAUUUGCUUGCAGAAGAUAUUUGUAAAUAAAGAAUCCAUUUGAAUCGGCCUUCAAUGCUUUGACUUGACAAAAAUAUUAGUCUCUGAAAUAUUCAACUGAUAUCCAGCCGGCUUGAAGAUGUAAAACUUGCCGGUUUAUGAUUACCACCAUUGUCUGGUUAUAAAAACUGAUAAUUCCGGGUCAUGAUUGUUGCCAACACCGGUUCAUGAUUGUUGCUAAUGCCGGUUCAUGAUUAUUGAUGACGCCGGGUUACAGUCACAGGGUCAUAAUGAUUGGUGACGCCGGGUUAAUCCAGUUUGCUCAAAACAGAGAAUUUGAAAAUAGUUCUUCAAUAAUAAUAUAAUACCUGUAGCCCCCAAGUCUUGAGCAGAACAAAGUGAUGGCUUAAGACUUGCUUCAAUAUAAAUACUGCCACUUAAGAAGAAAUCCAUGUUGUUCAUCCCAGUGACUAGUAAAAACUGAAUACUCCAUACUAUGUAGCCCCCAAGUGCCGGGUUAUCAUGCUUACAACAACCUGGGACUUGCAAUUGUCUUAUACUCAUAAAAACUUCAACCAGUGUAGCCCCCAAGAGCUGGGUCAUUAUGCAAUAAUGAGCAGGGACUUUAAUAUAUACUUCAAUGAAAAUAACAUCAUAUGAUGUAACCCUCAUCAUGGGACUUGAAUCCACGUCCACAAGGUUAAGAGCUUUGUGCUUUACCAACUGAGCAGUGGACUCUUCAAUAUAAUGAAUAAAAAGCUUUGUACCUUCAACUGUUGACAGGAGCAAUUGGUAGCCCCCAAGGGACGACUCAUUAUAAUGUGAUGAGUCGGGUCAUCAAUAAUAUGAGCAGAAAAUUACUUUGCAUUAGCCCCCAAGUGUCAUGGUGCAUGCUUGCAGCGACAUGAGACUUGCAUGUAAUCUCAAUUUGAAUAAUGUAGCCCCCAAGUGCCGGGUCGUGAGCCUGCAGCAACUCGGGACUAUUCCUUCCAUUGUAGAAUAAAUCAUAUCCUUUGAUAAAAUAAUAACUGUUGCGCUAAAGCGACUUUGAAAACUCAAUAAUACCGGUUACUAAUAACCAUAAAAAUCCAGCCAUGUUGGCUAUUCAAGAUAAUAUAAUUCGGUAUGAAAAAUUCAUCCAAUAUCAUAAUGAAAAUUCAGCCAAAUUUGGCUAUUUGAAUAAUAUAACCCAAUCAUUUAUAAGCGCAUGAUUCCAAUGGCGCAAUCCAAAUAUAUACUGGCGACGUAUAGUCCAAAGCCAGGCCGGUUUAAUAAACUCCGGAUAAUUUCCCAUCAUAUACUGGCGACUUAUCAUCUUAAAGCCAGACCGGUUUAAUAAACACCGGAUAAUUUAUCAUCAUGCUUUAUUCAACCUGUCUCUGCAUACAACAAGUUUAAAGUGUCCUGGCGGUUUACCGCCGGACAGGUCAUAAUGCCCAACAUAUAACCCAGGUUUAUAACCAAGGCUGCACUUAAGAAUAAUCAAAAAAAAUAUAUCAUACCUAUGAUAUUGAAUCACAUCAUUUGUUUACCAAUUUUUUGUAGUAAGAGUGAUAACCCCAAUCUUGAGUAAUGAUAACUCCUUUCAUACUGUGCCGGUUUAUGAUAAAACCGUACCGGGUUGUGAUAAACACCGGUUUAACCAUAUAUAAUACUGGCGACUCGUAGUCAAACCAGACCGGGCGGAUAGUCUCCGGAUUAUGAUUUGAUCAUGUAUUGACAACUUGUAAUUGAAAGUCAAGCCGGGUUAAUGAACACCGGUUUACUCCAUAAUAAGAUGGUAACAUAAAAUCAAGCCGGGCAGAUAGUCUCCGGAUUAGGAUUUGACCGUGUUACGCCAAUUUGUAAUUGACAGUUUGAAACGGAUUAACAAUGUCGGUUUAAAAAUGCAAAAAAAAAUCAAAUAACAGUUAUGAAAAAAUAUGGAAGCAAAGGCAAUGAUAAGACCAUUUGCAGAAAAAGGCUUUACUGAGCCGAUCAGAUGGUGUUACCAUGGUCGGACACGACCAAGCUCCCAAUAAGGUGUAGCUAUGGUUCAAGUCAGCCAGGUCCCCAAAUGAUUCGUGGCAUAUAUGCCAGAUCAAGAGGCAUGGCAAUGGUUCGGGUUCGACCAACCCCCAAGUGAUUUUGUGGCCUUAGGCCGACCAAGAGGCGUGACUGGUUCAGACUUGACCAUGUCCCCAAGUGAUCUGGUGGCUGUCGCCCAUCAAAAGGUGUCGCGUUGGUUCGGACACGACCAAGGCCCCCAGUGAUGUUAUGGCACUAGGCCGAUCAAGAGGCAUGGCUAUGGUUCGGAUACGACCAAGCCCCCAAGUGACCAAUAAUAUGAUAAGCCAAUAAGGCAUGAUACCCAUGUUUGGACCGCACAUCAUGGCAACAAGUCUUCUUUGGCACCCUUUAACUUUUUGCAAGAGAUAAAUCCUUCUUGAACCGGGAUUUUGAACCGGAUAUUGAGAGCUUCAAGGAUUUGUGGGAGACAUCUUUCCCUUGAACCGGAUUGUAAACCGGAAUCUUCAUUUGCAGCCGGAAAUUUUCUGAUGGCCUUUCAACUCGAACUUGCGAGAAGUUAAUUCCUUUUUGAACCAGACAUUUGGAGAGCUUCAAACGGUUUGAGAGAAAGAUGACUCUUGAACCGGAUUUUGAACUGAAAUCCUUUCUGAUGACCCGGAACUUCUUCAUUUUAAGCCGGAAUUUUUUUUGAAGGCCUUUAAACUGGCAACAUUUAUUGAGCCAUGUCAUUAUUAGCCCCUGAGUCUCGAGGCAACUUGAGGAGUUGGCUUGAGAUUCUCCAUAAUUGACCGUGAUAAAAAACUGGUUUGAAUUCUGCAUGGGAGAACUUGUAUGCCAGGCUAGUGAUUAUCCACCGCGGAGUUGAUGACCACCAUGAUGAAGCUGAAAUCAAUCAUGGGCGAGUCGGCUGCGGGAGCAGACAGAUGAGCCAUCCGUGGCAUUGUAAACCAGUUCGGAGGGGCGAGUCAAUCGUAGGUACGGUAAACCGUGCGAACGGGCGAGUCGACCUCAUCAUGUUUGAUGUAGCGGGGCGUCGAUUUGCACAUGUACCCGUCGAGCAUCUAGGCAUAGACGAGCGCUAGUGAAAAAUAAUGCUGACGCUUGCCCCCUUGCCACACCUUUGUAAUGAAUAAUGGUCCUGCAAAAAAAAAUUACCAUAGACCAGUGUAAUUGUUUUUUGAUGUAAACAAUAUGUUUUAAUUAAAACAGACUUAGAGGGAUAUCACCGGAUUCAUCUGGAUGACAGACGGAGUUGUAUAUUCCAUCCGUAGAUCACCUCCAGUGAUUUCAACAGCGAGUUAACCGCUCGCCCAAUGCCUCGGCGGAGGCGGCGCGAGGCAAGAUCAUGAAUGAUGAAGUAGAGGCAGCUCGCAGCGGACGCGCGACGACUUGGAACAACGCCGGUCGUGGACAAUGUUGUGGUGGCUUGUCCAGCGCUCCAUACUUGCAUUGUUUUGUGGCAUCACUACUUUCAACUUCUCGAGCGUAAUCCAGUCAGUAGCCCACUGGUCAUCUCAAAGCACAAACAACUGAGGUUGUACAGUAGCACCAGGAAGAAGGCGUGGAGGUAAUGGUAUCAUCAGGAUAAACAGCCUUAGAUUUAUGAACAUGUUCCAUUGACGGCCGGUGACCACCAGCCAGCUCUGAAUAGCAGCCAGUCUGCCGACUGCUGAUCACCCAACAGUAGAUAUUUAUAUAGGCUGAAUAUAUGUCCAUUAAGGGAUAGCUGGGUAAGUACUCUUGGUAACUUCUCUGCCGCUGCAGGUAAAAACAAUUUCUUCAUCAUCAUUUUUUUUGGAACACACCUGUAAUCCAGACUGUACUACUCCAAGUUUAGUUGCUACUGCAUCAAAUUCGUUACCAAUCUCAUGUUCCAACUCAACAUCAUUCGGUGUAUUGCAAGAUCUAUGAGUAGAGAUGGCAGCUUCAAAAAUAGGAGGCCCCUUUGCGGCAGUAAACGUUCCUGAAGAUGGACAAAGACACGUGCAUUGCAAGGCAGGACCAGCUUGAGGAGACUUGACGGUUCAGGAAACGCAACGGCGGAAAAGGGAAAAUCCGGCUCGACGCGUGACUGUAAUGGCAACUCAUAGGUCCCUCGAAAACCACGGCAGCUGGGUGGAAACAGUGCUGGUGCGACGUGGGACGGCGCCAGAGUCGGCCGGAGCAGUAGUCUGGGCACGUGGGCGUCUCCACGGCGGCUCGAAAGUACAAAUCCGAGGCAAAAACAUGGCAGCGGUGACUUGAGGCCAUCCGUCCACGAGGCGGAGGCGAGGGCGACUUGGCAGGUAAAACCCGAGCACGUGUUCCAAUCCGGUUCCGGUUUGGGUCACAGCGGCGACUUGGCGCGUCGACGGAGCUACAACCGCUUCAGCACGGCCGGCGGGUUGAGAGGGGCACGGCGACAGCGAGGCAGCUCCAUGGGAGAAGGUAAGGCCGUUCGGUGAGGCAGCAGAGGCAGCUGUGACCGGUUACACAUGAUCUGAAUUUGGCCUAGACCCGUGACUCCCUGAAGGAAUUGAAUAAUAUGGCAACUUGUUUCUUGGAGCUUGUAACACGUGAAGAACUUGAUGAACCUUGGUCACUUUCAUAUGUGCUGAUUGUUCUAACAUAAACCAUCAUUGACUUGCUUUUGUCUUCCCUUUCUACGGAAGGGUAUUGGGAUCUGUGAUUGUAUUUGAAUCGGACUCGGUAAUCCUUACUGAGCGGUGACCAGCGUCGGUUCAAUCAACCUGGGUAGAGUCCUAUUUCCUUUUUGUACACCGCGCAUCAAUCGAUAAACUUGCCUUUUAGAAACGUCACGCUCAAGGCUUCGAGUUUUUUUUUACUUUUCUAAACGACAAAACAACAGCAACAGCACAGCCGGCGCCUUCCCGUAAUGGCGCCUUGUUAUCUUCAACGCGAUCGAAUCGGCCGUAGCCCAAUCUCAACUGAACAGAUCGCUUUUGAGACCUCCACAAGACGAGACGCCUUGUGCUGAAACUAGUAUCUGAAUUAUCAUCCCAGCCGUCUCAUCUUCCUCCGACCAAACACGACCUUCUCGAUCCCUGGGAAAGAUCCCUCCAAGAACUCAUCACCAUCAUGCGCAGGCCCCACGGUGGGCGCCAACUAUCAUGGAUUUGUCACGGCAGAUGUCCUUAGUGUCAGGACUUAGUUGCGAGGCCAACGCAUCUAUGUGGUAGCUUGAGAGGGGUUGAGCGGAAUCGAGAGACGCAACACACGACAGGGAUUUAGACAGCUUCGGGCCCCGGGAAACAUCAUACGGUAAAAACCCUACAUGCUGUUUGAGGCUAGAUCUCGUUACCAUUAUGAGGGAGUCGCCGUAAACCGGCUCUCCUCUUUGUAUCUAGCCCUAAGAUUGUUUCUUCUUGCUUGUAGCCUGUCCCCCUUUGGGGAGCCCUGCCCCUCCUUAUAUAUGUUGAAGGGGCGGGUUACAUGUGGAGUCCUAUUAGGAUUAGGACUAGUCUCCCUUCUAAUACAAACCGGAUACAAGUCCGGGUCUUCCUUGUAAAGUAAAUAUUCCUCACGCCUUUUCUCUUAAAUCGGCCCACCAUAGCAUGAUCCGGCCAUCCAUAAACCGCCCAUUGGGCCACCAGGUCUUGUCGCUCCUCUGACCCGCCUGCCGGAUUACCAAUGAACCGUAAACCGCCAUGUCCAAGUGGGUUGCCAGUGAAUCGCCAAACUCUAGCCGGGUCAUACAUCCAGCAGUUUAUACCGCGGGGUAUAUCCCCGACAGAUCGGGUCUUCCCGGGAGAAGGAAUAUCCUUUGUUGAUCGCGAGAGCUUAUCAUGGGCUAAGUUGGGACACCCCUAUAGGGUAUAAACUUUCGAGAGCCGUGCCCGCGGUUAUGUGGCAGAUGGGAAUUUGUUAAUAUUCGGUUGUAGAUAACUUGACACUUGACUUAAUUAAAACGCAUCAACCGCGUGUGUACCCGUGAUGGUCUCUUUUUGGCAGAGUCUGGGAAGUGAACACGAUUUUGGGUUAUGUUUGACGUAAGUAGGAGUUCAGGAUCACCUCUUGAUCAUGGCUAGCUUCAUGACCAUUCCGUUUGCUCUCUUCUCGCUCUUAUUUGCGUAUGUUAGCCACCAUAUAUGCUUAGUCGCUGCUGCAACCUCACCACUUUACCCCUUCCUUUCCCAUUAAGCUUUGCUAGUAUUGAUACCCAUGGUAAUGGGAUUGCUGAGUCCUCGUGGCUCACAGAUUACUACAACAAUAGUUGCAGGUACAGGUUCUGCGAUGAUCAUGACGCGAGAGCAAUGUUUGCUUGUUUUGGAGUUCUUCUUCUGCUUCUUCUUUGAUCAGGGGAUAGGUUCCAGGUCGGCAGCCUGGGCUAGCAGGGUGGAUGUCGUUUGAGUUUCUGUUUGUGUUUCAUCCGUAGUCGGAUGAUGCUCUUAUGUAAGUUGAUGUUGUAUUCGUGUGGCAUUGUAUGCCUUUUGUAUGUAUCCCCAUCUAUUAUGUAAUGUUGAUGUAAUGAUAUCCACCUUGCAAAAUCAUCUUCAAGAUGCGCUUCUAUCCUUGGUGGGACCUUCGAGUUCCUUUAGGAUAGGGUCGCAUCUUGGGCGUGACAGAUUGCAGAAUCAUCUCCUUGGCUAAUGGAAGAAGGCUGCAUUACUGCGUUUGACACGGUGGGGAAAGAGCAGAACUCCCGCCUUGUUGCUACAUGCGGGAAGUUGGUCCGGAGGUGUAGGAUAGCCUCCACAACAGUGGCUUGAAUGGCUAAACCAGAGGUAGGCAUGGCUCUACCCUAUAAAACCAAAGGCUGGACAUCUGCUGCAGGACCUAGGCUGAUGUGCACUCUUGCAACAAAGCGAUGAAGGUGAGGGACGGGUGUCGAUUGGAACACCAGGUAAUCGGGGCUAGUCUUACCGCCAAAGGCUUUGGUGAGCAUCUCAGCAAGAAGGGGUGGAAAACUAGGGUGGUUGACGGUGUAGGUGCGGGUGUAAUACGUGGAAGUUUUGGAGCUGCUAGCCAUGACUGGGGAGCUACUGGCUAAGCUUCUCUGCAGGGACAUGGCGGACUGAGGAGCGAGCGAUACGGCUAGCGGAAAGGGCAUUUAUAGGCAGCUACACAGGACAGGCCCGCAUGGGGUGGCCCCUUUCCCUUAAUGGCGAAGGGAAAGCGGUGCGGUCGACCAGAAAGGAUAGGAUUGCUGCACGUUCCACGGAUAACUAGGCGGGGACAGCGGGGUGAGGACGUGUAGGUCCCGACUGCACCACCUGUUGAUUAACAGUGGCCAUGCCGAACGCCAGGGAUGGGUCAAAUCCCUUAAGGUCAUUAUGAGUUGAUGGUGGCGGUGAUCUAAUGCUAGGAUAAUCUAUGCCAGCCUAGCUGCUCUGGUACCAAGCCCUGUGGCAACCCGAUCCACAUGGAGCAGGGGGCCUUCGCACGUCAGCCGAGGAUAACACGUGACGCACGACUGGUCCAUGAUACAGCAUUCCAGGUACAAGAAUAUUCAUCAAAUACAUGUGUAUAUGAGUACAUCAAUGAUGAAUAUAAUCGUCUGGCAUAGCCCUAAGGCUAUUUACAUUACAGCGGAAGUCUAUUUAGAUGGCGGAGGAAAUCUUGGCAGCAUAUCACUCUGGCUGGCCUCCACAACUCACAGGACUGGCAAGAUUGCGGCCUAGCACGACGGAACAACGAACAAUUCGGGCACGACCUACAAAAAUGGCAUGACACGCCAGGUCAGUACAUUGAAUGUACUUGCAAGACAACCAAAUACAUAACAUCCAAGUAAACAGAAGACAAAGCAGGAACCAAGCGUAUGCAACAACUUAUCUCAUAUCAGAAACUAAGCAUGGCAUGAUAUCAACCAAAGACAUAAAUCAAACUAACAUCAUGUCAUCUACUAGCAUGGCAAUAACAUGGCAUGGCAUCAUGAAACUAUGCUGAAAAAUAAACUAGCGGUCAUAUCCAAUGCAGACAUAACAUGUUAACUUUAUGCAAUCAUCUCAUGUCCUCCCAUGGUUCUUUAAAUGCAAACAUAUUACUCAUGCAAUGCAACCAAACUUGAUCACUCCUGGAUCACAAACGAGCUAACCCAGAGACAUCUCUUGAUCCUUCCGGCGAUCACAACCACGACCAAUAUUUGGCCUCAGACUGUGAUCCUUAUGGUGAUCACAACCACGACCAAUAUUUGGCCUGUGAUCCUUACGGUGAUCACAACCACGACCAAUAUUUGACCACAAAUCGUGAUCCUUACGGUGAUCACAACCACAACCAGUAUUUGGCCCGUGAUCCUUACGGCGAUCACAACCACGACCAGUAUUUGGCCUGUGAUCCUUACGGCGAUCACAACCGUGACCAGUAUUUGGCCCGUGAUCCUUACGGCGAUCACAACUACAUUAAUCAGCUUAAUUAUUUCAGGUUUAUCCUCCAUUUCGACCAAGACCCCAUAGUAUGACCUACUACGAACUUGCGCCCAUGAUCGAGGACGCGACUAUUGAUAGAUUUUAUAAACACUCUGCAGAGGUAGCGUACUGUACCCACACCACGGAACCCAUGGCCUCGCACUCCCAAUCAGGUGGACCAACGACAUUCCGACAAAACCGACCUACUGUCAUGACACUCUCCUGGCCACUCCGACUCACUCCCCACUGGGCUAGUCCUGGGUGGCCCCGUGUCUACCAAAGACACAACGACCACCAUCGUGGCCACGAUCCCACACGGGGACCCGGUACCAAAAACUCAACAACGGGCACACAAGGCUUAUGUCCGCCUACCUGAUCAGGGUAGCGCGCGCCCAUAUCCUUCCGUGGUUGGAGGCACCGACCAGAGGAACGACAAUAGAUCACAUUAAGGCCGUCCCAUACCAGCAAAUGUGGCGGCACUGAGAAAGUUCGAUUUGGCGGUACUAUGACUCAAUCCCAUCAAUGACGGAGGAGUUUUGUUAUUAAGUCAUAUUAUUAACUUCUCCAUCAUCAAUCAUCAUGCAAGCAUUUUAACAUGAAUGCAACAAUGAGCAUACAUCAUACAAAUGCUUUAAUAACAUAUCGAACUUCUCAAGUGAACAACUACAGCAUAAAGAACAUGAGAAUACCAAGUACUAACAUAUCCACGGUGCAUUACAAUCAUCAUAACAUUUUAUAACGAUGUCAUGAAAAUAAAGUGGAUUAGUGACAUGGCAUUAUCCAUAACAACAUUCUAACUAGCAUGGCAAAAGAUAUCAUGAAAACACAAGCAUGCAUGGUAAGGAUAACGGAAUAACUGCAGAUGAAAACGAUAAGCAACAACUGCAACUACACACACACAAGGUGCAAGCAAAGUCAACAUGCAAGUUCAGGGCUCAUGAUAAGAGGUUGGCUUGCCUGGGGGUUAACAAAUACUCCGGGAAGAAGUGAGAAACGACCGUGGAAAAAUUUGCCGGAAACAGUUCUCUCUCGGAGGGGGCUGUUUACAGACAAGGGCAAAAUGGUCAUUUUCAGAAUGUGCUAACAUGGUGAAAAUGAUCUCAUCAAAACGGGCUCGACUAAACGAAAACGUGGGCUUUGGAAUCACCUGAUUCAGAGUUACGGUUGUCCAGAUACGAAGGGUUGAAGUUCAGGGACCUAUUGGUGAAAAUUUCUCAGCCAACAGGCCCCUGGAGGUAAAACUGAACGCCUAUUUCUGAGAAUACGCCUUCGGUCAGGGUUAACGGCUCGCGGUGGGGUGCAUCCACUUAGAUGACAUGGCGUUGGACCAGUCAAAGUGGCAGAGGCGGGGCUGGGCUCCUUGGCCGCUGCCAGGUGGGGCCGCGGGGCCAACCUGGCCAGGUCAACGCCUCUCCUGGCCACUCCAUUCUUCUCCCCGACGCGCGCCCACAGAGCAGAGGAAGGCCGCGCUCCGGCAACGAGCACCGGCAACAUGGGCCACCUCCGGCGAGGCUCCAGCCACCGGCGUGCUCCUCGGGGAGUGGUGCAUCCAUUCCCCCACUCCACGGACUCCAACCACGAGGGGAGCAACGGCGACCUCGAGAAUGGCGGACGGCGGAGAAGGGCUUCGGUCGAUAGCGAGGCAGCGGUUCUGGCGGGGGAGGCGAGGGGC
RNAcentral lists this long non-coding RNA (32730 nucleotides) under Triticum aestivum (bread wheat). RNAcentral's name for it is "long non-coding RNA (TAES_LNC011863)". Lineage: Eukaryota; Viridiplantae; Streptophyta; Magnoliopsida; Poales; Poaceae. The record is from RNAcentral.